GACGAACGCUGGCGGCGUGCUUAACACAUGCAAGUCGAACGGAAAGGCCCUGCUUUUGUGGGGUGCUCGAGUGGCGAACGGGUGAGUAACACGUGAGUAACAUGCCCUUGACUUUGGGAUAACUUCAGGAAACUGGGGCUAAUACCGGAUAGGAGCUCCUGCUGCACGGGGGGGGUUGGAAAGAUUCGGCGGUUGGGGAUGGACUCGCGGCUUAUCAGCUUGUUGGUGGGGUAGUGGCUUACCACGGCUUUGACGGGUAGCCGGCCUGAGAGGGUGACCGGCCACAUUGGGACUGCGGUACGGCCCAGUCUCCUACGGGAGGCAGCAGUGGGGAAUAUUGCACAAUGGGCGGAAGCCUGAUGCAGCAACGCCGCGUGCGGGAUGACGGCCUUCGGGUUGUAAACCGCUUUCGCCUGUGACGAAGCGUGAGUGACGGUAAUGGGUAAAGAAGCACCGGCUAACUACGUG
This 468-nucleotide ribosomal RNA is filed under the name uncultured bacterium. Its description in RNAcentral is "partial 16S ribosomal RNA". It matches the Rfam family "Bacterial small subunit ribosomal RNA", at positions 28 to 507 of the family's 1533-position model. The record is from RNAcentral.